UACGGGGGGGGCAAGCGUUGUUCGGAAUUACUGGGCGUAAAGGGCUCGUAGGCGGCCAACUAAGUCGAACGUGAAAUCCCUCAGCUUAACUGGGGAACUGCGUCCGAUACUGAUUGGCUUGAAUCCGGAAGAGGGAUGCGGAAUUCCAGGUGUAGCGGUGAAAUGCGUAGAUAUCUGGAGGAACACCGGUGGCGAAGGCGGCAUCCUGGGUCGGUAUUGACGCUGAGGAGCGAAAGCCAGGGGAGCAAACGGG
RNAcentral lists this ribosomal RNA (253 nucleotides) under uncultured bacterium. RNAcentral describes it as "partial 16S ribosomal RNA". It matches the Rfam family "Bacterial small subunit ribosomal RNA", at positions 524 to 776 of the family's 1533-position model. The record is from RNAcentral.